GACGAACGCUGGCGGCGUGCCUAAUACAUGCAAGUAGAACGCACAGUUUAUACCGUAGCUUGCUACACCAUAGACUGUGAGUUGCGAACGGGUGAGUAACGCGUAGGUAACCUGCCUGGUAGCUGGGGAUAACUAUUGGAAACGAUAGCUAAUACCGCAUAAUAUUGAUUAUUGCAUGAUAAUUGAUUGAACGAUGCUAUUGCAUCACUACCAGAUGGACCUGCGUUGUAUUAGCUAGUAGGUGAGGUAACGGCUCACCUAGGCGACGAUACAUAGCCGACCUGAGAGGGUGAUCGGCCACACUGGGACUGAGACACGGCCCAGACUCCUACGGGAGGCAGCAGUAGGGAAUCUUCGGCAAUGGACGAAAGUCUGACCGAGCAACGCCGCGUGAGUGAAGAAGGUUGUCGGAUCGUAAAGCUCUGUUGUAAGAGAAGAACGGGUGUGAGAGUGGAAAGUUCACACUGUGACGGUAUCUUACCAGAAAGGGACGGCUAACUACGUG
RNAcentral lists this ribosomal RNA (505 nucleotides) under uncultured bacterium. Its description in RNAcentral is "partial 16S ribosomal RNA". It matches the Rfam family "Bacterial small subunit ribosomal RNA", at positions 28 to 507 of the family's 1533-position model. The record is from RNAcentral.